GUUCGAAUCCCACCCUCUCCGCCAAAUGCCCAGAUAGCUCAGUCGGUAGAGCAGGGGACUGAAAAUCCCCGUGUCGGUGGUUCGAUUCCGCCUCUGGGCACCAAAAUAUGGCGGUAUAGCUUAGUUGGCUAGAGCGUUCGGUUCAUACCCGAAAGGUCAUAGGUUCGACUCCUAUUACCGCUACUAAAAUUUAAUGUGGGCCAUUAGCUCAGUUGGUUAGAGCGCCCGGCUCAUAACCGGUAGGUCUGGGGUUCGAGUCCCUGAUGGCCCACCACAUUAAAUUAAUUAAUAUAAAUUCGAGGUGUAGCGCAGUUUGGUAGCGCACAUGGUUUGGGACCAUGGGGCCGGGGGUUCGAGUCCCUUCACCUCGACCAAUAUAAGGUGGGUAUAGCUCAGUUGGUUAGAGCGCCAGAUUGUGGCUCUGGAGGUCGUGAGUUCGACUCUCAUUAUCCACCCCAACUUAUAUGGUCUAUUAGCUCAGUCGGUAGAGCACCUGACUUUUAAUCAGGGUGUCCCGCGUUCGAGUCGCGGAUAGAUCACCAAAAAGGUGGCGACAUAGCCAAGUGGUAAGGCAGUGGACUGCAACUCCUUGAUCCCCAGUUCGAAUCUGGGUGUCGCCUCCAAAAUAUUCCAAGGUAGCUCAACGGUGGAGCAACCGGCUGUUAACCGGUAGGCUGUGGGUUCGAGCCCCACCCUUGGAGCCAAAAAAGCCGAAGUGGCGGAACUGGCAGACGCACAGGACUUAAAAUCCUGCGGGACUUACCUCUCGUACCGGUUCGAUUCCGGUCUUCGGCACUUAUAAAACAAUAUCGCGGAGUGGAGCAGUUGGCAGCUCGUCGGGCUCAUAACCCGAAGGUCGUAGGUUCAAGUCCUGCCUCCGCAACCAUUAAAAUGGCUCGUUGGUCAAGAGGUUAAGACACCGCCCUUUCACGGCGGUAACAGGGGUUCAAUUCCCCUACGAGUCACCAAUUAAAUAUGCGGGUGUAGCUCAAUGGUAGAGUUCUGGCCUUCCAAGCCAGCUGUGAGGGUUCGAUCCCCUUCACCCGCUCCAAAAAUGGGACCAUAGCUCAGCUGGGAGAGCACCUGCCUUACAAGCAGGGGGUCACAGGUUCGAGCCCUGUUGGUCCCACCAUUUGCGGCCUGGUAGUUCAGUUGGUUAGAAUGCCAGCCUGUCACGCUGGAGGUCNGGGCUAAAACUUACUACCGAAGCUACGGCAUCAGUAAUGAUGGGUAGGGGAGCUUCCCAUACGGGUUGAAGCAUGACCGUAAGGACAUGUGGACAGUAUGGGAGUGAGAAUGUUGGCAUGAGUAGCGAGAUGUGGGUGAGAAUCCCACAGGCCGUAAACCCAAGGUUUCCAGGGGAAGGUUCGUCCGCCCUGGGUUAGUCGGGACCUAAGCUGAGGCCGAAAGGCGUAGGUGAUGGACAACAGGUUGAUAUUCCUGUACUACCGAUAACCGUUUGAGAGAAGGGAUGACACAGUAGGAUAAGCUAAGCACACUGUUGGUUAUGUGUGCCCAAGCAUUGAGGCAGUCAAAGUAGGCAAAUCCGCUUUGAUAAUGCUGGGAUGUGAUGGGGAGCGAAAUUUAGUAGCGAAGUAGCUGAUUUCACACUGUCAAGAAAAGUCUCUAUCGAGGUUAAAGGUACCCGUACCGCAAACCGACACAGGUGGGUGAGGAGAGUAUCCUAAGGCCAGCGAGAGAACUGUUGUUAAGGAACUCGGCAAAAUGACCCCGUAACUUAGGGAUAAGGGGUGCCACCAUCAGGUGGCCGCAGAGAAUAGGCCCAAGCGACUGUUUACCAAAAACAUAGGUUUCUGCUAAGUCGCAAGACGAUGUAUAGGAGCUGACGCCUGCCCGGUGCUGGAAGGUUAAGGGGAUCUGUUAGAGCAAUCGAAGCAGUGAACUUAAGCCCCAGUAAACGGCGGCCGUAACUAUAACGGUCCUAAGGUAGCGAAAUUCCUUGUCGGGUAAGUUCCGACCCGCACGAAAGGCGUAACGAUUUGGGCACUGUCUCAACAACAGACUCGGUGAAAUUGUAAUUCCGGUGAAGAUGCCGGAUACCUGCGACAGGACGGAAAGACCCCAUGGAGCUUUACUGUAGCUUGACAUUGGGUCUUGGUACUACAUGUACAGGAUAGGUGGGAGGCUUUGAAACCAGGACGCCAGUUUUGGCGGAGCCAUCCUUGGGAUACCACCCUUGUAGUACUGGGACUCUAACCAUAGGCCAUGAAUCUGGUCUUGGGACACUGUCAGGUGGGCAGUUUGACUGGGGCGGUCGCCUCCCAAAAGGUAACGGAGGCGCUCAAAGGUUCUCUCAGUACGGUCGGAAAUCGUACGUAGAGUGUAAAGGCAAAAGAGAGCUUGAUUGCAAGACAUACAGGUCGAGCAAGGAUGAAAAUCGGACUUAGUGAUCCGGUGGUUCUGCGUGGAAGGGCCAUCGCUCAACGGAUAAAAGCUACCCUGGGGAUAACAGGCUUAUCUCCCCCAAGAGUCCACAUCGACGGGGAGGUUUGGCACCUCGAUGUCGGCUCAUCACAUCCUGGGGCUGUAGUAGGUCCCAAGGGUUGGGCUGUUCGCCCAUUAAAGUGGUACGCGAGCUGGGUUCAGAACGUCGUGAGACAGUUCGGUCCCUAUCCGUCGCAGGCGUAGGAAAUUUGAGAAGACCUGUCCUUAGUACGAGAGGACCGGGAUGGACGUACCUCUGGUGUACCAGUUGUCCUGCCAAGGGCAUGGCUGGGUAGCUAUGUACGGAAUGGAUAAGCGCUGAAAGCAUCUAAGCGCGAAGCCAACUUCAAGAUAAGAUUUCCCACCGCAAGGGUAAGACCCCAGAAAGACUAUCUGGUUGAUAGGUCGAAGGUGUAAGUGCAGUAAUGUAUUUAGCUUAUCGAUACUAAUAGGUCGAGGACUUGACCAA
This 2914-nucleotide ribosomal RNA is filed under the name Clostridioides difficile. RNAcentral's name for it is "23S ribosomal RNA". The stretch from base 902 to 2913 matches the Rfam family "Bacterial large subunit ribosomal RNA". Lineage: Bacteria; Bacillati; Bacillota; Clostridia; Peptostreptococcales; Peptostreptococcaceae. The record is from RNAcentral.